UUAGCUAUUAUUAGAUACGUUUGUAUUCAUCAGGAUACAAACGGACAGGUUUGUAUCUAUGAUGGCUAAUGUGCUUCAACGCGUCACCAGCCACGUAGGUAACUCUAAGUGGCUGCGAAUAGUGCGAAAAUAGGUAUUGAUUUCUUUCGUAAUUUUCAAUCGUCCACUUAGACUAUCUAA
Molecule: non-coding RNA, 180 nt
Filed under: Enterococcus pallens ATCC BAA-351
Lineage: Bacteria; Bacillati; Bacillota; Bacilli; Lactobacillales; Enterococcaceae
Description: Enterococcus sRNA 2410
Rfam family: Enterococcus sRNA 2410
About the family: Produced as 2 transcripts on Northern blot. Expressed in mid, late exponential and early stationary phases of growth. Expression remained uniform under daptomycin exposure.
Source: Rfam by way of RNAcentral